GGAAACGGCAUUUAGUGCUUGCACUGAAUGGACGUCGACCGGCGCACGGGUGAGUAACGCGUAUCCAACCUACCCAUUACUGUGGGAUAACCUGCCGAAAGGCAGACUAAUACCGCAUAGUCUUCGAUGACGGCAUCAGAUUUGAAGUAAAGAUUUAUCGGUAAUGGAUGGGGAUGCGUCUGAUUAGCUUGUUGGCGGGGUAACGGCCCACCAAGGCUACGAUCAGUAGGGGUUCUGAGAGGAAGGUCCCCCACAUUGGAACUGAGACACGGUCCAAACUCCUACGGGAGGCAGCAGUGAGGAAUAUUGGUCAAUGGGCGCGAGCCUGAACCAGCCAAGUAGCGUGCAGGAUGACGGCCCUAUGGGUUGUAAACUGCUUUUGUAUGGGGAUAAAGUCAAUCACGUGUGAUUGUUUGCAGGUACCAUACGAAUAAGGACCGGCUAAUUCCGUGCCAGCAGCCGCGGUAAUACGGAAGGUCCGGGCGUUAUCCGGAUUUAUUGGGUUUAAAGGGAGCGUAGGCCGGAGAUUAAGUGUGUUGUGAAAUGUAGACGCUCAACGUCUGACUUGCAGCGCAUACUGGUUUCCUUGAGUACGCACAACGUUGGCGGAAUUCGUCGUGUAGCGGUGAAAUGCUUAGAUAUGACGAAGAACUCCGAUUGCGAAGGCAGCUGACGGGAGCGCAACUGACGCUUAAGCUCGAAGGUGCGGGUAUCGAACAGGAUUAGAUACCCUGGUAGUCCGCACAGUAAACGAUG
RNAcentral lists this ribosomal RNA (756 nucleotides) under uncultured Bacteroidota bacterium. Its description in RNAcentral is "bacterial SSU rRNA". It matches the Rfam family "Bacterial small subunit ribosomal RNA", at positions 67 to 811 of the family's 1533-position model. Lineage: Bacteria; Pseudomonadati; Bacteroidota. The record is from RNAcentral.